AAACGUGUGCUCGGAACGGGUUUCACCUUCGGGUGGAUGAAAAGGGAAUGCGGUUCGGCCAUCUGGCCAAUCCCGCAACUGCCCCCGCAACUGUAGCCGCCGAGCUUCCUUCCACGAUGCCACUGGGUGUGUUCGCACAUUCGGGAAGGCGGAAGAUGGAGCGUUGACGCGGAAGUCAGGAGACCUGCCUGUUCCAGUCACCCAUGC
RNAcentral lists this non-coding RNA (207 nucleotides) under Rhizobium sp. EC-SD404. Lineage: Bacteria; Pseudomonadati; Pseudomonadota; Alphaproteobacteria; Hyphomicrobiales; Rhizobiaceae. The record is from RNAcentral.